Molecule: ribosomal RNA, 344 nt
Filed under: uncultured bacterium
Lineage: Bacteria
Description: bacterial SSU rRNA
Rfam family: Bacterial small subunit ribosomal RNA
Source: RNAcentral
AUUGAACGCUGGCGGCAGGCCUAACACAUGCAAGUCGAACGGUAACAGGAAGAAGCUUGCUUCUUUGCUGACGAGUGGCGGACGGGUGAGUAAUGUCUGGGAAACUGCCUGAUGGAGGGGGAUAACUACUGGAAACGGUAGCUAAUACCGCAUAACGUCGCAAGACCAAAGAGGGGGACCUUUCGGGCCUCUUGCCAUCGGAUGUGCCCAGAUGGGAUUAGCUAGUAGGUGGGGUAACGGCUCACCUAGGCGACGAUCCCUAGCUGGUCUGAGAGGAUGACCAGCCACACUGGAACUGAGACACGGUCCAGACUCCUACGGGAGGCAGCAGUGGGGAAUAUUGC